Nomascus leucogenys (northern white-cheeked gibbon) is the source of this 1141-nucleotide long non-coding RNA. RefSeq lists it as uncharacterized. The transcript has 3 exons. The record is from RefSeq and is a predicted model, not a curated record. NCBI's taxonomy places the organism in Eukaryota, Metazoa, Chordata, Mammalia, Primates, Hylobatidae.
AAAUGGCAUCAUAUGGCUAUCUUGAUUAGAAUCUUCAUGAUCAGUAAUGUUAUUGCCUAUCAUAUGUUUAUUGAUCACGUGUGUUUUCAUUUCUGCAAAAUAUCUACUUAUAUCUUUUGGCAGUUUUCCAUUGAAUUAUUAGCAUUUUCUUAUUCAUUUUUAAGAGUUCUUUAUGUGUUCUUGACACUAAUACUUUGCUAGUUGUGUACAAUUAUCCAAGUUUGUAACAUAGCUUCUGGCUUAGUUAUGGUAGCAUUUUAAGAAUUCUCUUAAUAUAAUUAAACGCAACAUUUCCUGUUAUAACCAACCUUAUAUGAACAUGUAUUACUUGAAUCUAAUAAUGUUCAUUUAUAUUUUUAGCCACGUUUUUUGACAUUUUUACAUAAAUGAUUAAUUUUUGGUGUCAAUAUAUGAGUUAUUCAGUUUUUUUCAUAUGGUUUUCAGGUUCAUUUGUGGAAUAGCCCCUUCCCUGUCUCACUGAUAUGGCAUGGCAAUUUUGUUAUAUAAUGAAGUUCCACGCAAGCAUGGUUCUGUUUCUCAGCAUUCUGACUGUUUCUGCACCUAUGCCACACUGAGUAACCAAAGCUCAAGAGUUAAGUCAUCUGGUUUAACAGUUCUGGAGGCUGGGAAGUGCAAGACCAAGAUAUGAACAGAUUCAUUAUCUGGUACAGAUACCCUGCAUAUUUUUGGCCUCAUAUGAAGAAAGAAAUGUUUUUGAAAAUUUACAUGUGUGCAUUUAUCAUCAUAAAUACAUUUAAUUCAUUGUAAAGACAUGGCCAGAAAGAUAAUCAGCUAUCUGAUAAUUAUAAGGUGCUGGUUAGAAAACAGGUACUUACUUUAAAUAAAAUUGUUAUAUUAAACUAUCUGGCUUUACCUGGCCUUUAAUGCCUUUUGAGAAUGUCAAGAUCUGCAGAAACAUAGAUUUAUUUAAAUUAAUUCUGAAAUAGCACAGCAUUUGCAGUGGUUUUGGUAAUUCUCUAGCUCAGAUGUAUAAGCUCAGAUUUGUAUAUACAUCCACUGAACAUUUUUCAUUGUGUAUGAGAUCAAAGAUUCUUAAUCAUACUCCAAAUUGGACACUGCUAGCUAAUUGGGUAGUUAUAAUACCAUUUAGUUCAUUUCUUAAUGGAAAGUUGGAAUAAAC